This 379-nucleotide ribosomal RNA is filed under the name uncultured eukaryote. RNAcentral's name for it is "partial 18S ribosomal RNA". It matches the Rfam family "Eukaryotic small subunit ribosomal RNA", at positions 592 to 975 of the family's 1831-position model. The record is from RNAcentral.
CAAUAGCGUAUAUUAAAGUUGUUGCAGUUAAAAAGCUCGUAGUUGGAUUUGUGGUGUACUUCGGCGGCCCGUCACUAUGUGAUGGAGCUUGCUGAAGUCGCCAUCCUUGGGUGGAUCCUGUGUGGCAUUAAGUUGUCGUGCAGGGGAUGCCCAUCGUUUACUGUGAAAAAAUUAGAGUGUUCAAAGCAGGCUUAUGCCGUUGAAUAUAUUAGCAUGGAAUAAUAAGAUAGGACCUUGGUACUAUUUUGUUGGUUUGCGCACCAAGGUAAUGAUUAAUAGGGACAGUUGGGGGUAUUCGUAUUUCAUUGUCAGAGGUGAAAUUCUUGGAUUUUUGAAAGACGAACUACUGCGAAAGCAUUUACCAAGGAUGUUUNCAUUA